Molecule: ribosomal RNA, 253 nt
Filed under: uncultured bacterium
Lineage: Bacteria
Description: partial 16S ribosomal RNA
Rfam family: Bacterial small subunit ribosomal RNA
Source: RNAcentral
UACAGAGGGUGCGAACGUUGUUCGGAAUUACUGGGCUUAAAGCGCACGUAGGCGGCGCCGCAAGUGUGGAGUGAAAUCCCACGGCUUACCCGUGGAACUGCUUGGCAGACUGCGGUGCUAGAGGAUGGUAGGGGAGAGCGGAACUCCUGGUGGAGCGGUGAAAUGCGUAGAUAUCAGGAGGAACACCGGUGGCGAAGGCGGCUCUCUGGUCCAUUACUGACGCUGAGGUGCGAAAGCUAGGGGAGCAAACGGG